RNAcentral lists this ribosomal RNA (468 nucleotides) under uncultured bacterium. Its description in RNAcentral is "partial 16S ribosomal RNA". It matches the Rfam family "Bacterial small subunit ribosomal RNA", at positions 28 to 507 of the family's 1533-position model. The record is from RNAcentral.
GACGAACGCUGGCGGCGUGCUUAACACAUGCAAGUCGAACGGAAAGGCCCUGCCUUUGUGGGGUGCUCGAGUGGCGAACGGGUGAGUAACACGUGAGUAACCUGCCCUUGACUUUGGGAUAACUUCAGGAAACGGGGGCUAAUACCGGAUAGGAGCUCCUGCUGCAUGGUGUUGGUUGGAAAGUUUCGGCGGUUGGGGUUGGACUUGCGGCUUAUCAGCUUGUUGGUGGGGUAGUGGCUUACCAAGGCUUUGACGGGUAGCCGGCCUGAGAGGGUGACCGGCCACAUUGGGACUGAGAUACGGCCCAGACUCCUACGGGAGGAAGCGGUGGGGAAUAUUGCACAAUGGGCGGAAGCCUGAUGCAGCAACGCCGCGUGCGGGAUGACGGCCUUCGGGUUGUAAACCGCUUUCGCCUGUGACGAAGCGUGAGUGACGGUAAUGGGUAAAGAAGCAACGGCUAACUACGUG